Molecule: long non-coding RNA, 1061 nt
Organism: Trichomycterus rosablanca
Lineage: Eukaryota; Metazoa; Chordata; Actinopteri; Siluriformes; Trichomycteridae
Exons: 3
Source: RefSeq, a predicted model, not a curated record
UAAAUAGUCGGCACUCGGCAGCAAACUAACCACUAAAGUACAGACAGCGUGUUAAACUGUGUGUAAAAAUUGCGAAAACAUGAUUUAACUUCCCAUUAAGGCGCUUUUAAUUCGAGCUUUUAGCGCUUAGAAAUCCAGCAACUACACACGCAGUUGUUUCGGUUUGUACAGAAGUGCAGGAGAAGGAAGAAAAAGGCACAAGGAGAACAUGCAGACUCCAAACAUAAAGGAUCCAAUCCGCUCUACCUGGGACGUGAAGGUGUGAGGAGACACUGCUACGCACCGAGGCACCAUUCUGCCCUACAGGCUAGAUUUAAACUUGCAUCCAAUUUCUUCCCGUCAAUCAUCCUCUCACUAAUGCUGGUCCCUGCUCCUGAUUGUGGAGGACGAGGCUGCUCCACGCCCCCCUCCGACACGUGCACAGCAAUCGAACAUCUUAUCACCAACACUUGACGAGUGCAGUGCAGUACAGCGCUGUGUACGGAGAGCCACACCCUCUACCGCACUCCUUUCCCAUCUCUGUGCAUGCACCACCAACCAGCCGGCAGAGGUCGUAAUCGCACUAGUCUGAGAGAGAGUCCCCAUCCGGCUUUAUCCCGCCCCUAUCUCAACAACAGGCCAAUUGUUGUUCAUGUGGCCGCUCAGCCUCAGCCGGCAGGCAGAGCCGAUGUUCAAUACGAUGUAUUGGAGAUGUCAGCUCUGGUGAACAGCAUGUGUUUUUACCACUGCGCCACCUGAGCGGCCACCAUGUUAUCUUUAUCAUACCAAUUGUGGGUCUGAAUACGUCCCGGUCACAGUGUCAGUCCAUUACAGUAUCAGUCCAUUGCAGCGAUUAUAUAUUAAAAUUUGAUGCAUUAAUAAACUGUAAAUUGUCAUUUCAAGUUUCCUAUUGGUUGCUUAGGUAUUUAGAGAGCGCUACAGUGAAUCUGGUCAGCAUACAGCACAUUUUUUAAGCUGGGUGCCCUUCCUGCCACAAGAAGAGUGCAUCGACCCAAUGGCUUUUUUGACACAAUCACGUAAAAAUGAAUAAAAUUAUGUUUUCUACUCAUUGUGAUGUCACA